This is an RNA transcript of Phlebotomus papatasi, 5725 nucleotides long. It is a transcript of the gene named rho GTPase-activating protein 190, with no coding region annotated. The transcript has 12 exons. The record is from RefSeq and is a predicted model, not a curated record. Lineage: Eukaryota; Metazoa; Arthropoda; Insecta; Diptera; Psychodidae.
UGUGUAGUGAAUUCGAUUGUCUGUCGCGGCAAAAUACGUGCUAAUUGUGAGUAAUGGCUUUGGAAAUUGUGCAAAAGUAUUCCCAGAGAGCCCCGCAAGUGCUCUAGUGUGAAAAAUAUCUUGGGUUUGCCGUGAAAGUGUGAUAAAAUGGUGUGCAAAGUGAACCUACAAGUGGUGUGAGUUGUUUUAAAACACGAGACAUAGACAGCACUUUUGGUCAGUUUCUAGAGAAAGUUGUGCAUUCCGGGUGGGCAGAAGGAGGAGGUAGUUUUCAGGGCCAUAUUCGGGAAGAAAAAAAGGGGAUUGUAGACAGGAUGAAGCAGAUAAAUAUUUCCAUUGUCGGGAUGUCCGGCACUGAGAAGGAGCGCGGACAGAUUGGCGUGGGCAAAUCUUGCCUCUGCAAUCGUUUCGUUAGACCACUAACCGAUGAUUACUUCAUCGAUCACAUAUCAGUAUUAAGUCAGUCUGACUUUUCUGGACGUGUUGUCAACAACGAUCACUUUCUCUAUUGGGGUGAUGUGAAGAAGACAUCCGACGAAGGUGUCGACUAUGUCUUUCAUCUGAUUGAACAGACAGAAUUUAUGGAUGAUGCCACAUUCCAGCCCUUCAAAGUGGGCAAAAUGGAGACUUAUAUGAAGCGCUGUGUGGCCACAAGGGUGGCCUCAGCGGAGAAAAUGAUGUACAUUUGCAAGAAUCAAUUGGGAAUUGAGAAGGAGUAUGAACAGAAAAUUCUACCAGAUGGACGUCUCAAUAUUGAUGGGUUUAUCUGUGUUUUCGAUGUUAGUACAGUGCCCAAUCGAAGUGUUGAGAAACAGGUGGAUUUUGUGUGCAACAUCAUUAAUAAUUUGCUCAAGACAAAAAAGCCCGUAUUGUUGGUCACCACAAAGAAUGAUGAGGCCAAUGAAUUGUAUGUGAGGGAAGCGGAAAAAAUUUGCCAACGAAAAGAAUAUAAAGGGAAUAUAUUGAUGGUUGAGACAUCAUCACAUGAGGGUAUCAAUAUAGAUAUGGCUUUUAUUGCUCUAGCCCAGAUGAUUGAUAAAACUAAGCAAAGAACGAAAAUUCUCACGUAUCAUGAAGCUGCUAGGAUGCGCAAGGAACUUCUUGAUACGAGUACAGAAGCUGUGACAAAAUUGAUAAGGGGUCAAAUAUCAGAUUAUCAUACACUGUGGUCACAGGGUUCAAAAUCACUGGCUGUUCAUAAAGAAUGGCAGGAUUUUAUUGAGCUUUUUGGCCAGGAAGCUGGUCAGAGAAUUUUUCGGAGGCAUAUUAAGAAAUUGCGUGAGGAAAAUGUGACAAAGCGUCUUCAUCAAUAUAUGGAAAAUUUCUCAUGUGCUCUCCAGGAUCUCAUACCCGAUAUGAAUUCACUCAGUGUUGAAAUUAGUGAUGACUGGACACUUGUUCAGAAUUAUCUAAAGACUCAUAUUGAUUUUGAUCAGUACUUUUUUGAGUGUCAUCAAGCACCAUGGACAGAUUUAAGUGAUGUCAGUGAUACUGAAGAUGAUUCACGGAUACCCUUUGAUGUCCUAGAUACACCAGAAGCUGAGACUGUUUUUAAAAAUCAUGUCAAUGCUCUGCAGCAGGAACAGAAGAGGCUAGAAUGGAAGAAGCAGUUUAAGAAGCUCCUAGAGGAGACAGGCUAUGUGACUCCGGGCAAGCAAUUGUCUGAAGUGCGUGUCCUGUUUAUGGGUCGUGAGUGUUUUGAGGCACUGUCUGAGCAUGAUUGUCAGCAAAUUUAUGAUAAUCAUCAGCGUGAGAUAAUUGAGAAGGCAAAGCACAAUUUUCAGGAAUUGUUACUUGAGCAUGCUGAUCUUUUUUACCAUUUUAAAAGUAUUGAUCCAUCGGGUACAAUAACUCAGGAUGAUAUAAAGGAGAUCACAGAUGUAUUGCAGGAAGAUUUGAGGUAUAAAAUGCUGGAUAGAUUGGAUCAGGAUAGGAAAUUGAUGUUAUUUCAGCAUUUGGGUUUUGUUCAUUGUCCCAUACGGGAACACUGUCCGGCCUUUCCUAAUUGCAUGGAUGCUCUAAUUGAGCGAAUUAUUACGGCUAAGAAGGCACAGAGUUUACCAAGAAGGGGAGGAGGAGGUGUUGGGGCUCAGUGGAAGCAGUCACAGAAGAGUGAUGAGACAAAUUUGAAUUUGUUGAUAUUGGGAGCUGAACAUCUAGCGGGGGAUUUAAUUAAUGAAAUUUGUUUGAAUUGCGGUGAUGAUGGGGAAUACAUCUACGAUGGUCAAACGCAUUUUCUUCAGACAAAAAUAAUUGAUGGCAAUAUGGAGAGUUUUAAAUCGAUAGAUUUUCAAUCAAGUGGAUUGGUUUGUGUCUAUGCUAAUCAGAUGUCCUUUGAGUAUUUGAAGGAGAGCCUCGAGAAGAGUUUGCUGUGUAAUCUCGAACUUGAAGAUAAAUUUGAGAAUUUACCCCUUGUUCUGGUGUAUCAGCCGGAAGAUACGAAAUUGGAGGAGACAGAAAUUGAAUUGUUGAGAAGUGAGGGGCAUCAAUUAGCUGAUUUACUGCAUGGUCUCUUUAUUGACACCUCACUCAAUUUCUAUCAUCAUCGUCAGAGUCAGCAUCAAAAUUACAUUUAUGACAUUAUUAAUCAUUUAAUUGAAUGUCUCAAAUCACUCGAUCCAAAACCCGAUGAUGAUCCCUUCAAUAUGAAUCCAGAUAUUCGAAUAAUUCUCUGUAUGUUCUGUGGUGAUCCAUUUUCGGUGGAAAAUGUUCUGAGUACCCUCAUCACUGAUGCUUCCUGUACACUGUCAAGUGAACGAAGUCUCAUUCUAGAGACAUUUUUGGGCGAUACAAAACGUCGAAUUGAGAUAAUUGUGUCAUCAUAUCAUGGAGCAAAUGCUUUUCGUGAUGAACUUGUACAUGGAUUCAUAUUGCUGUAUUCGACCAAGAGGAAGGCAUCAUUGUCCACCCUAAAUGCAUUUUCCAUGAAUAUUCCAAAUUUGCCCAUGCAAAUAAUGGCCAUUACGUCAGAGGGUGGAAGUGCCAGUGCUUUCUUUAACAACGAAAUGUGCCAGAUGCUCAUGACUGAGGGUAACGCCAUUGCUGAUCGACUCAGGGCGCACUUUAUGACAUCAGCCACGGGAAAUCAGCUCAAAACUUCCCUCUUCCUUGCAGUGGCUUUCUAUACGCCCUUCCUCAAGGAAGUCUGGGACAAGAAGCCCGAAAUCGAACAGGCCUUCCAUAUGGAGGAGCCAGUGACAUUGGAUUCGGGUGAGGGAACUCUUGAGCACUCAAUGCACCACCAUUUGCCCCAACCACCGCCACGGCACGAGAGUUACAUGCUGAAGAAUAAUCACGAUGGGUCAGGAAGUGAAAAUUAUGAGCAUCUCCCAACACGAUCUCUCAACUCACUCAAUGGGCCGGAUGACAACAUUAAGCUCAAUCUCAAUGACAACAGCGAAAAAUAUCCCCAUUUGUACAUGCUGGGGGAAAAGGAUAUGGGAAUUGAUGAUACCUACAUGAAUGACGAUGAUAAAGACGAGAAGAGUCGCUUGAUACAUCAAGGUUGGCUGGAUGAUGCUCUCUUUAUUGGUCGCGAUGGUGAUAAGAGGGAUGGAAGUGGUGGCAAGAGGAGUGUUCUGUGGAAUAACUUUGGUGCGCACCAUGCUUUUACAACUGGAAGGCGACAAAAUGAGUCAUCAACAUUUGGCAAUAAAGUGAGACCAAAGGGACCCAGUCAGACACUAAAGCAACCCGGAAAGCUGAACCUCAAGAACUUUGCCAUCGUCAAUGAUGCCAUAGCACGUAUGAAUGUGAACAGUGACGGAGGCAAUGACGGUAGGAAAGUCGGUAGGGAACGUGAAAAGAAACCCAAAGGCUCAAUAUUCGAUCAUGCCCCUUUGGCAGCUCCCGAGGAUGAUUCCGAUGAACUGGCUGAGGCGGGAUAUAGUCAAGUGAAGGAGGUGUAUCCGGGUGGUGGCAGUGGAAGUGUCGAUGAUCAGCAAUUGUACAAUUAUGCCCUCGAUACAACACCCAACAAGUCCAAGUUGCGCCAUCGACGCGAAAAGGAGCAACAGAAAUAUUCAGAUACAGACAGUGAAUCGAGUUCACUGGAGAGAAAGAACAAUCGGGGCUUCGAUGGGUACUACAAGAUGAAUCGCAAAGCACAGACGCACAAGAGGAUCCGGAAGAAGCGAACGGCAAUUCCGGUGCAACCACCAAAGGUGCCAUUUGGCACGUACGUGAGCCCUCCGGAGAUUCCAAUGUUGUACCAAAGAAUGAAGGCUGGGGAGCAGACGAAGAAACUGCUGCCGGGAAUGGUGGAGAAGCAUGCUGAGGAGGAAUCGAGCAUUGAUGUGUCUUCGCCACGUGACAAUAAUUCGCCCAUUUUUGGUGUUGUGCCCAAAAUUGUGAAGAUGAGUGACAGGGAGAAGUUGAUUGAGCAGAAAUGUGGUGAGAAGCAGAAGAGUCAGAAGGAGACGGAGAAGAUGGAAAAGAGACGUGCCAAGGAGGAUGCAGCCAAAAUGAGAAAGAUGUUGGACAAGGAGAAGGAGCUGGAGAAGAGGAAUAAGCGAAAGUCGAAGCAAAGUGGAAAAGUUGGUGGUGAUGCUCCAGCACCAACAUUGCCUGAUUUUAUUCAGUCUGAUAAGAAUAUUCCACUCUUCCUUGAGAAAUGUAUCCAAUUUAUUGAGCAAGAAGGUCUUGAUUCUGAGGGUAUUUAUCGUGUUCCUGGAAAUCGAGCUCACGUUGAGCUCCUCUAUCAGAAAUUUGAAGAAGAAGAAAAUGUCGAUAUCGAAACAUUAGAUAUUCCUGUUAAUGCUGUAGCUACUGCUCUCAAGGAUUUCUUCUCCAAACGCUUACCACCGCUCUUUGAUGAGGACCUAAUGACUGAAUUGGAGGACAUUGCUGGUUCGCGGGGAAUGGCUUCAAAUACGCUGAGUAUGGAGGUUAAAACUGAUCGUAGUUGUCGUUUACUUGCUCUCCGUGGACUUCUCAAUAAGAUGCCAUCGAUAAAUUUUGCCAUAUUGAAGUACAUUUUCCAGCAUUUUGUCAGAGUAUCUGAGAAUGCAAAAUUGAACAGCAUGGACAGCAAGAAUUUAGCCAUUUGCUGGUGGCCUACACUUAUCCCAAUUGAAUUUAACGAUAUGGGACACUUUGAGCAACUCAGGCCAUAUCUUGAGGACAUUGUUCAAACAAUGAUUGAUCAAUAUCCAUUCCUCUUUUGUGGUAAGGAGGCUUUUGUGAUGGUGUGAAAUAAGGAGAAUGCAUCAUAAUCAUCAUUUCAUCGAUAAACGUCAUUCAUUGUUGUUAGAAUGAAUUUGUCUCACAAACAUAAUAAUUAUUCCAGUAAUAAUAAUUAAAAAAAUAAAUAAAUGUGCGUGUGCGAAUUGAGACAGAGAGAGUAUGCUUUGUAAGUUUUUUUCUUAUAACUUGUUGUGAAAGAAAUAAUAAAGCUUUAAUUAUUAUCGGAAUGUGAACAUGGAAUAUUGGAUAGAAAGAUUUUGCCAUAUUUUUCCUUUUGAAAAAAAAAGAAUAAUUUUAAUCAACGGACAUUACUUGUGCUAAAAUGGAUUUUUAAAAAUAAUUUGCAAUAAUUUUUAAGAGAUUUCUUUGUCUCUCUUCGAUGGAUGUUGAUUAUUAAUCAAUGUUCCCUCGUGAAAUUUUUUGCACUGUCCUCCACUAAAACAAUUAAUGGCUAUGACGAAUUAAUAAAAAUUGACAUCCUAUGUAUAAAAAGAAUAUUUUGAAAGUGAAAUACUCAAUUAAAAAGCAAGAAAGAAAAAAA